RNAcentral lists this ribosomal RNA (515 nucleotides) under uncultured bacterium. Its description in RNAcentral is "bacterial SSU rRNA". It matches the Rfam family "Bacterial small subunit ribosomal RNA", at positions 15 to 518 of the family's 1533-position model. The record is from RNAcentral.
GAUCAUGGCUCAGGAUGAACGCUAGCUACAGGCUUAACACAUGCAAGUCGAGGGGCAGCAUGACGAUAGCUUGCUAUUGUUGAUGGCGACCGGCGCACGGGUGAGUAACGCGUAUCCAACCUUCCCUAUAGUAGAGGAUAGCCCGGCGAAAGUCGGAUUAAUACUCUAUGUUUUCCAAUGCAGACAUCUAAGUUGGAACAAAGGUUCACCGCUAUAGGAUGGGGAUGCGUCUGAUUAGAUAGUAGGCGGGGUAACGGCCCACCUAGUCGACGAUCAGUAGGGGUUCUGAGAGGAAGGUCCCCCACAUUGGAACUGAGACACGGUCCAAACUCCUACGGGAGGCAGCAGUGAGGAAUAUUGGUCAAUGGGCGAGAGCCUGAACCAGCCAAGUAAGCGUGCAGGAUGACGGCCCUAUGGGUUGUAAACUGCUUUUAUCGGGGGAUAAAGUGAGGGACGUGUCCCUUAUUGUAGGUACCCGAUGAAUAAGGACCGGCUAAUUCCGUGCCAGCCGCUGC